RNAcentral lists this ribosomal RNA (492 nucleotides) under uncultured bacterium. RNAcentral describes it as "partial 16S ribosomal RNA". It matches the Rfam family "Bacterial small subunit ribosomal RNA", at positions 29 to 507 of the family's 1533-position model. The record is from RNAcentral.
AGUGAACGCUGGCGGUAGGCCUAACACAUGCAAGUCGAACGGCAGCACAGUAAGAGCUUGCUCUUACGGGUGGCGAGUGGCGGACGGGUGAGGAAUACAUCGGAAUCUACUUUUUCGUGGGGGAUAACGUAGGGAAACUUACGCUAAUACCGCAUACGACCUACGGGUGAAAGCAGAGGAUCUUCGGACCUUGCGCGAUUGAAUGAGACGAUGUCGGAUUAGCUAGUUGGCGGGGUAAAGGCCCACCAAGGCGACGAUCCGUAGCUGGUCUGAGAGGAUGAUCAGCCACACUGGAACUGAGACACGGUCCAGACUCCUACGGGAGGCAGCAGUGGGGAAUAUUGGACAAUGGGCGCAAGCCUGAUCCAGCCAUACCGCGUGGGUGAAGAAGGCCUUCGGGUUGUAAAGCCCUUUUGUUGGGAAAGAAAAGCAGCAGGUUAAUACCCCGCUGUUCUGACGGUACCCAAAGAAUAAGCACCGGCUAACUUCGUG